Molecule: ribosomal RNA, 434 nt
Filed under: uncultured bacterium
Lineage: Bacteria
Description: bacterial SSU rRNA
Rfam family: Bacterial small subunit ribosomal RNA
Source: RNAcentral
AAUGAACGCUGGCGGCAGGCCUAACACAUGCAAGUCGAACGGGUCCUUCGGGACUAGUGGCGGACGGGUGAGUAACGCGUGGGAACGUGCCCCUUGGUACGGGAUAGCCCCGGGAAACUGGGAGUAAUACCGUAUGUGGUCGAGAGACGAAAGAUUUAUCGCCAAGGGAUCGGCCCGCGUUGGAUUAGGUAGUUGGUGGGGUAAUGGCCUACCAAGCCGACGAUCCAUAGCUGGUUUGAGAGGAUGAUCAGCCACACUGGGACUGAGACACGGCCCAGACUCCUACGGGAGGCAGCAGGUGGGGAAUCUUAGACAAUGGGGGAAACCCUGAUCUAGCCAUGCCGCGUGAUCGAUGAAGGCCUUAGGGUUGUAAAGAUCUUUCAGGUGGGAAGAUAAUGACUGUACCACCAGAAGAAGCCCCGGCUAACUCCGUG